AUGCCUUAUGUGUACAGAAAAUAAUGAUUGUGGUGAUGCCUGAGUCCUCACUGCUUAUGUGAGACAAAUUUUUGAGCAGGUAAAGGUUGCUCCCUAAGGCUACCUGCCUAUUUUGUGGGAUGUCUGGGUAGGCAGUCUGCCUG
This is a small nuclear RNA of Acomys russatus (golden spiny mouse), 143 nucleotides long. RefSeq annotates it as U12 minor spliceosomal RNA. The transcript has a single exon. The record is from RefSeq and is a predicted model, not a curated record. NCBI's taxonomy places the organism in Eukaryota, Metazoa, Chordata, Mammalia, Rodentia, Muridae.